This is a long non-coding RNA of Perca flavescens (yellow perch), 587 nucleotides long. RefSeq lists it as uncharacterized. The record is from RefSeq and is a predicted model, not a curated record. The transcript is spliced from 3 exons. Lineage: Eukaryota; Metazoa; Chordata; Actinopteri; Perciformes; Percidae.
GUCAAAGUGACUCCAAUAGAUGAAUAGAGCCGGCCACUGGAUUCCUGGAGGAAAGGCUGCGGAACGUCAGGAAGCGGCUGAGAUCAACCAGCAGGUCGCAGAGCACGGCACAGACACAACCACAAACGCCAGAUGAUGGCGCUCUAGCAAGGGCUCUCAUACCAGAAUGUACCAUAUCAGACGAACGUGGGUCACAGCUUAAAGAAUGGUUGGGAAAUAAUUCUCAGCCCCUCAGCCAGAUAGAGAACUACAUGCCGAACACAGCAGUCUACAGGGCCAAGUGGAUUAGGGACAACAAUUGGACCAUCGAUCAGAUCCUCGAAAGAGUUCCCUCACCUAAUGACCAAAGGCAUGAUUGCACAGGCUUGUCCUGCAUGGGGAUGCUGCAUCAAAGUUGUUUGAAACUUGGUAACGUGAAAUGCCAGGAGGGGAGUCUAAAAUGGUAAAGUUUAUUCAAAGUAGAAUACUUGCUUGCAAGUAGAGCUAAUGGCUCUUAAUAGCAGCUUUUUAAUAGGAAUUUGAAUUUGUUCACAAUAGACCUGUUGAAUGUUCAGCCAGUUCAUUCGUAAUUGUUGUUUUGCUCUGAA